UGGGAUGGACUAAAGGUCGCCUCAUAUUCAUUAUGGGGAGGAAAGUCCGAGCUCUCUCUUAAUGAGCAAUCAUUAAGAAAAAUGAUAGUGGGUAAUGCCCAUCUGCCUUAAAAGGCAAGAGGUGCGAACAGAGACGUUUUGGCUUGAAAGAGCCAGAAGUUCCUUCAGUGAAAGAAGGAAUCAGUUGCUUUAUAAGAUAGCUUAACGGUUAUCAAAGAGGCAGGUGAAACGGCUAAAUCCUUAUCUGUGAGCAAGUCCGAAAAUGGUUGAAUAAACCGUUAAAAUGGACGCAUAAAUCCGGCGGUAACGCAGGAUUCAGAGAAAUGACCUUUGCUCCUAACGGAGUUACAGAACUCGGCUUAUAGUUCAUCCCAGAAA
This 378-nucleotide RNase P RNA is filed under the name Elusimicrobia bacterium RIFOXYA2_FULL_39_19. RNAcentral describes it as "RNase P RNA component class A". It matches the Rfam family "Bacterial RNase P class A". From Rfam's summary of the family: Ribonuclease P (RNase P) is a ubiquitous endoribonuclease, found in archaea, bacteria and eukarya as well as chloroplasts and mitochondria. Its best characterised activity is the generation of mature 5'-ends of tRNAs by cleaving the 5'-leader elements of precursor-tRNAs. The record is from RNAcentral. Lineage: Bacteria; Pseudomonadati; Elusimicrobiota.